This 21-nucleotide non-coding RNA is filed under the name Arabidopsis thaliana (thale cress). Lineage: Eukaryota; Viridiplantae; Streptophyta; Magnoliopsida; Brassicales; Brassicaceae. The record is from RNAcentral.
AUGUGUCACAAUCCAAUGCAU